CGGACACACAAAAAGAAAGAAGAAUUUUUAGGAUCUUUUGUGUGCGAAUAACUAUGAGGAAGAUUAAUAAUUUUCCUCUCAUUGAAAUUUAUAUCGGAAUUUAAAUUGAAAUUGUUACUGUAAUCACACCUGGUUUGUUUCAGAGCCACAUCACAAAGAUAGAGAACAACCUAGGUCUCUAAAGGGGGCAAGGGCAUCAGUGUGCUCAGUUGAAAAUCCCUUGUCAACAUCUAGGUCUUAUCACAUCACAAGUUCCACCUCAGACUCUGCAGGGUGAUCCAACAACCUUAAUAGAAACAUUAUUGUUAAAGGACAGCAUUAGUUCACAGUCAAACAAGCAAGAUUGAGAAUUAACCUUGGUUUUGAACUUGAACACUUAGAGGAUUGGAGAUUCAACAACCCUAAAGCUUGGAGUAAAACAUUGGAAAUAGUUAAAAGACAAAUUGCUCGGAAUCACAAAAUCCCGAGUAUGGAUUCUCGUCCUCAGAAAGUCUGGAUGACGCCGAGUCUCACUGAAUCUGACAUGGAUUACCACAAGAUCCUGACAGCAGGUCUGUCCGUUCAACAGGGGAUUGUUCGGCAAAGAGUCAUCCCAGUGUAUCAAGUAAACAAUCUUGAGGAGAUUUGCCAACUUAUCAUACAGGCUUUUGAAGCAGGUGUUGAUUUUCAAGAGAGUGCGGACAGUUUCCUUCUCAUGCUUUGUCUUCAUCAUGCGUACCAGGGAGAUUACAAACUUUUCUUGGAAAGUGGCGCAGUCAAGUACUUGGAAGGGCACGGGUUCCGUUUUGAAGUCAAGAAGCGUGAUGGAGUGAAGCGCCUUGAGGAAUUGCUGCCAGCAGUAUCUAGUGGAAAAAACAUUAAGAGAACACUUGCUGCCAUGCCGGAAGAGGAGACAACUGAAGCUAAUGCCGGUCAGUUUCUCUCCUUUGCAAGUCUAUUCCUUCCGAAAUUGGUAGUAGGAGAAAAGGCUUGCCUUGAGAAGGUUCAAAGGCAAAUUCAAGUACAUGCAGAGCAAGGACUGAUACAAUAUCCAACAGCUUGGCAAUCAGUAGGACACAUGAUGGUGAUUUUCCGUUUGAUGCGAACAAAUUUUUUGAUCAAAUUUCUCCUAAUACACCAAGGGAUGCACAUGGUUGCCGGGCAUGAUGCCAACGACGCUGUGAUUUCAAAUUCAGUGGCUCAAGCUCGUUUUUCAGGUUUAUUGAUUGUCAAAACAGUACUUGAUCAUAUCCUACAAAAGACAGAACGAGGAGUUCGUCUCCAUCCUCUUGCAAGGACCGCCAAGGUAAAAAAUGAGGUGAACUCCUUUAAGGCUGCACUCAGCUCCCUGGCCAAGCAUGGAGAGUAUGCUCCUUUCGCCCGACUUUUGAACCUUUCUGGAGUAAAUAAUCUUGAGCAUGGUCUUUUCCCUCAACUAUCAGCAAUUGCACUUGGAGUCGCCACAGCACACGGGAGUACCCUUGCAGGAGUAAAUGUUGGAGAACAGUAUCAACAACUCAGAGAGGCUGCCACUGAGGCUGAGAAGCAACUCCAACAAUACGCAGAGUCUCGCGAACUUGACCAUCUUGGACUUGAUGAUCAGGAAAAGAAAAUUCUUAUGAACUUCCAUCAGAAAAAGAACGAAAUCAGCUUCCAGCAAACAAACGCUAUGGUAACUCUAAGAAAAGAGCGCCUGGCCAAGCUGACGGAAGCUAUCACUGCUGCGUCACUGCCCAAAACAAGUGGACAUUACGAUGAUGAUGACGACAUUCCCUUUCCAGGGCCCAUCAAUGAUGACGACAAUCCUGGCCAUCAAGAUGAUGAUCCGACUGACUCACAGGAUACGACCAUUCCCGAUGUGGUGGUUGAUCCCGAUGAUGGAAGCUACGGCGAAUACCAGAGUUACUCGGAAAACGGCAUGAAUGCACCAGAUGACUUGGUCCUAUUCGAUCUAGACGAGGACGAUGAGGACACUAAGCCAGUGCCUAAUAGAUCGACCAAGGGUGGACAACAGAAAAACAGUCAAAAGGGCCAGCAUACAGAGGGCAGACAGACACAAUCCAGGCCAACUCAAAAUGUCCCAGGCCCUCACAGAGCAAUCCACCACACCAGUGCUCCACUCACGGACAAUGACAGAAGAAAUGAACCCUCCAGCUCAACCAGCCCUCGCAUGCUGACACCAAUCAACGAAGAGGCAGACCCACUGGACGAUGCCGACGACGAGACGUCCAGCCUUCCGCCCUUGGAGUCAGACGAUGAAGAACAGGACAGGGACGGAACCCCCAACCGCACACCCACUGUCGCCCCACCGGCUCCCGUAUACAGAGAUCACUCUGAAAAGAAAGAACUCCCGCAAGAUGAGCAACAAGAUCAGGACCACACUCAAGAGGCCAGGAACCAGGACAGUGACAACACCCAGCCAGAACACUCUUUUGAGGAGAUGUAUCGCCACAUUCUAAGAUCACAGGGGCCAUUUGAUGCUGUUUUGUAUUAUCAUAUGAUGAAGGAUGAGCCUGUAGUUUUCAGUACCAGUGAUGGCAAAGAGUACACGUAUCCAGACUCCCUUGAAGAGGAAUAUCCACCAUGGCUCACUGAAAAAGAGGCUAUGAAUGAAGAGAAUAGAUUUGUUACAUUGGAUGGUCAACAAUUUUAUUGGCCGGUAAUGAACCACAAGAAUAAAUUCAUGGCAAUCCUGCAACAUCAUCAGUGAAUGAGCAUGGAACAAUGGGAUGAUUCAACCGACAAAUAGCUAACAUUAAGUAGUCAAGGAACGAAAACAGGAAGAAUUUUUGAUGUCUAAGGUGUGAAUUAUUAUCACAAUAAAAGUGAUUUUUAUUUUUGAAUUUAAAGCUAGCUUAUUAUUACUAGCCGUUUUUCAAAGUUCAAUUUGAGUCUUAAUGCAAAUAGGCGUUAAGCCACAGUUAUAGCCAUAAUUGUAACUCAAUAUCCUAACUAGCGAUUUAUCUAAAUUAAAUUACAUUAUGCUUUUAUAACUUACCUACUAGCCUACCCAACAUUUACACGAUCAUUUUAUAAUUAAGAAAAAACUAAUGAUGAAGAUUAAAACCUUCAUCAUCCUUACGUCAAUUGAAUUCUCUAGCACUCGAAGCUUAUUGUCUUCAAUGUAAAAGAAAAGCUGGUCUAACAAGAUGACAACCAGAACAAAGGGCAGGGGCCACACUGCGGCCACGACUCAAAACGACAGAAUGCCAGGCCCUGAGCUUUCGGGCUGGAUCUCUGAGCAGCUAAUGACCGGAAGAAUUCCUGUAAGCGACAUCUUCUGUGAUAUUGAGAACAAUCCAGGAUUAUGCUACGCAUCCCAAAUGCAACAAACGAAGCCAAACCCGAAGACGCGCAACAGUCAAACCCAAACGGACCCAAUUUGCAAUCAUAGUUUUGAGGAGGUAGUACAAACAUUAGCUUCAUUGGCUACUGUUGUGCAACAACAAACCAUCGCAUCAGAAUCAUUAGAACAACGCAUUACGAGUCUUGAGAAUGGUCUAAAGCCAGUUUAUGAUAUGGCAAAAACAAUCUCCUCAUUGAACAGGGUUUGUGCUGAGAUGGUUGCAAAAUAUGAUCUUCUGGUGAUGACAACCGGUCGGGCAACAGCAACCGCUGCGGCAACUGAGGCUUAUUGGGCCGAGCAUGGUCAACCACCACCUGGACCAUCACUUUAUGAAGAAAGUGCGAUUCGGGGUAAGAUUGAAUCUAGAGAUGAGACCGUCCCUCAAAGUGUUAGGGAGGCAUUCAACAAUCUAGACAGUACCACUUCACUAACUGAGGAAAAUUUUGGGAAACCUGACAUUUCGGCAAAGGAUUUGAGAAACAUUAUGUAUGAUCACUUGCCUGGUUUUGGAACUGCUUUCCACCAAUUAGUACAAGUGAUUUGUAAAUUGGGAAAAGAUAGCAACUCAUUGGACAUCAUUCAUGCUGAGUUCCAGGCCAGCCUGGCUGAAGGAGACUCUCCUCAAUGUGCCCUAAUUCAAAUUACAAAAAGAGUUCCAAUCUUCCAAGAUGCUGCUCCACCUGUCAUACACAUCCGCUCUCGAGGUGACAUUCCUCGAGCUUGCCAGAAAAGCUUGCGUCCAGUCCCACCAUCGCCCAAGAUUGAUCGAGGUUGGGUAUGUGUUUUUCAGCUUCAAGAUGGUAAAACACUUGGACUCAAAAUUUGAGCCAAUCUCCCUUCCCUCCGAAAGAGGCGACUAAUAGCAGAGGCUUCAACUGCUGAACUAUAGGGUACGUUACAUUAAUGAUACACUUGUGAGUAUCAGCCCUGGAUAAUAUAAGUCAAUCAAACGACCAAGAUAAAAUUGUUCUUAUCUCGCUAGCAGCUUAAAAUAUAGAUGUAAUAGGAGCUAUAUCUCUGACAGUAUUAUAAUCAAUUGUUAUUAAGUAACCCAAACCAAAAGUGAUGAAGAUUAAGAAAAACCUACCUCGACUGAGAGAGUGUUUUUUCAUUAACCUUCAUCUUGUAAACGUUGAGCAAAAUUGUUAAAAAUAUGAGGCGGGUUAUAUUGCCUACUGCUCCUCCUGAAUAUAUGGAGGCCAUAUACCCUGUCAGGUCAAAUUCAACAAUUGCUAGAGGUGGCAACAGCAAUACAGGCUUCCUGACACCGGAGUCAGUCAAUGGGGACACUCCAUCGAAUCCACUCAGGCCAAUUGCCGAUGACACCAUCGACCAUGCCAGCCACACACCAGGCAGUGUGUCAUCAGCAUUCAUCCUUGAAGCUAUGGUGAAUGUCAUAUCGGGCCCCAAAGUGCUAAUGAAGCAAAUUCCAAUUUGGCUUCCUCUAGGUGUCGCUGAUCAAAAGACCUACAGCUUUGACUCAACUACGGCCGCCAUCAUGCUUGCUUCAUAUACUAUCACCCAUUUCGGCAAGGCAACCAAUCCACUUGUCAGAGUCAAUCGGCUGGGUCCUGGAAUCCCGGAUCACCCCCUCAGGCUCCUGCGAAUUGGAAACCAGGCCUUCCUCCAGGAGUUCGUUCUUCCGCCAGUCCAACUACCCCAGUAUUUCACCUUUGAUUUGACAGCACUCAAACUGAUCACCCAACCACUGCCUGCUGCAACAUGGACCGAUGACACUCCAACGGGAUCAAAUGGAGCGUUGCGCCCAGGAAUUUCAUUUCAUCCAAAACUUCGCCCCAUUCUUUUACCCAACAAGAGUGGGAAGAAGGGGAAUAGUGCCGAUCUAACAUCUCCGGAGAAAAUCCAAGCAAUAAUGACUUCACUCCAGGACUUUAAGAUCGUUCCAAUUGAUCCAACCAAAAAUAUCAUGGGAAUCGAAGUGCCAGAAACUCUGGUCCACAAGCUGACCGGUAAGAAGGUGACUUCUAAAAAUGGACAACCAAUCAUCCCUGUUCUUUUGCCAAAGUACAUUGGUUUGGACCCGGUGGCUCCAGGAGACCUCACCAUGGUAAUCACACAGGAUUGUGACACGUGUCAUUCUCCUGCGAGUCUUCCAGCUGUGAUUGAGAAGUAAUUGCAAUAAUUGACUCAGAUCCAGUUUUACAGAAUCUUCUCAGGGAUAGUGAUAAUAUCUAUUUAGUAAUUCGUCCAUUAGAGGAGAUACUUUUGAUUGAUCAAUAUACUAAAGGUGCUUUACACCAUUGUCUUUUUUCUCUCCUAAAUGUAGAACUUAACAAAAGACUCAUAAUAUACUUGUUUUUAAAAGAUUGAUUGAUGAAAGAUCAUAACUAAUAACAUCACAAAUAAUCCUACUAUAAUCAAUACGGUGAUUCAAAUGUUAAUCUUUCUCAUUGCACAUACUCUUUGCCCUUAUCCUCAAAUUGCCUACAUGCUUACAUCUGAGGAUAGCCAGUGUGACUUGGAUUGGAGAUGUGGAGAAAAAAUCGGGACCCAUUUCUAGGUUGUUCACCAUCCAAGUACAGACAUUGCCCUUCUAAUUAAGAAAAAAUCGGCGAUGAAGAUUAAGCCGACAGUGAGCGUAAUCUUCAUCUCUCUUAGAUUAUUUGUCUUCCAGAGUAGGGAUCGUCAGGUCCUUUUCAAUCGUAUAACCAAAAUAAACUUCACUAGAAGGAUAUUGUGGGGCAACAACACAAUGGGUGUCACAGGAAUAUUGCAGUUACCUCGUGAUCGAUUCAAGAGGACAUCAUUCUUUCUUUGGGUAAUUAUCCUUUUCCAAAGAACAUUUUCCAUCCCACUUGGAGUCAUCCACAAUAGCACAUUACAGGUUAGUGAUGUCGACAAACUGGUUUGCCGUGACAAACUGUCAUCCACAAAUCAAUUGAGAUCAGUUGGACUGAAUCUCGAAGGGAAUGGAGUGGCAACCGACGUGCCAUCUGCAACUAAAAGAUGGGGCUUCAGGUCCGGUGUCCCACCAAAAGUGGUCAAUUAUGAAGCUGGUGAAUGGGCUGAAAACUGCUACAAUCUUGAAAUCAAAAAACCUGACGGGAGUGAGUGUCUACCAGCAGCGCCAGACGGGAUUCGGGGCUUCCCCCGGUGCCGGUAUGUGCACAAAGUAUCAGGAACGGGACCGUGUGCCGGAGACUUUGCCUUCCACAAAGAGGGUGCUUUCUUCCUGUAUGAUCGACUUGCUUCCACGGUUAUCUACCGAGGGACGACUUUCGCUGAAGGUGUCGUUGCAUUUCUGAUACUGCCCCAAGCUAAGAAGGACUUCUUCAGCUCACACCCCUUGAGAGAGCCGGUCAAUGCAACGGAGGACCCGUCUAGUGGUUACUAUUCUACCACAAUUAGAUAUCAGGCUACCGGUUUUGGAACCAAUGAGACAGAGUAUUUGUUCGAGGUUGACAAUUUGACCUACGUCCAACUUGAAUCAAGAUUCACACCACAGUUUCUGCUCCAGCUGAAUGAGACAAUAUAUACAAGUGGGAAAAGGAGCAAUACCACGGGAAAACUAAUUUGGAAGGUCAACCCCGAAAUUGAUACAACAAUCGGGGAGUGGGCCUUCUGGGAAACUAAAAAAACCUCACUAGAAAAAUUCGCAGUGAAGAGUUGUCUUUCACAGCUGUAUCAAACAGAGCCAAAAACAUCAGUGGUCAGAGUCCGGCGCGAACUUCUUCCGACCCAGGGACCAACACAACAACUGAAGGCCACAAAAUCAUGGCUUCAGAAAAUUCCUCUGCAAUGGUUCAAGUGCACAGUCAAGGAAGGGAAGCUGCAGUGUCGCAUCUGACAACCCUUGCCACAAUCUCCACGAGUCCUCAACCCCCCACAACCAAACCAGGUCCGGACAACAGCACCCACAAUACACCCGUGUAUAAACUUGACAUCUCUGAGGCAACUCAAGUUGAACAACAUCACCGCAGAACAGACAACGACAGCACAACCUCUGACACUCCCCCCGCCAUGACCGCAGCCGGACCCCUAAAAGCAGAGAACACCAACACGAGCAAGGGCACUGACCUCCUGGACCCCGCCACCACAACAAGUCCCCAAAACCACAGCGAGACCGCUGGCAACAACAACACUCAUCACCAAGAUACCGGAGAAGAGAGUACCAGCAGCGGGAAGCUAGGCUUAAUUACCAAUACUAUUGCUGGAGUCGCAGGACUGAUCACAGGCGGGAGAAGAACUCGAAGAGAAGCAAUUGUCAAUGCUCAACCCAAAUGCAACCCUAAUUUACAUUACUGGACUACUCAGGAUGAAGGUGCUGCAAUCGGACUGGCCUGGAUACCAUAUUUCGGGCCAGCAGCCGAGGGAAUUUACACAGAGGGGCUGAUGCACAAUCAAGAUGGUUUAAUCUGUGGGUUGAGACAGCUGGCCAACGAGACGACUCAAGCUCUUCAACUGUUCCUGAGAGCCACAACCGAGCUACGCACCUUUUCAAUCCUCAACCGUAAGGCAAUUGAUUUCUUGCUGCAGCGAUGGGGCGGCACAUGCCACAUUUUGGGACCGGACUGCUGUAUCGAACCACAUGAUUGGACCAAGAACAUAACAGACAAAAUUGAUCAGAUUAUUCAUGAUUUUGUUGAUAAAACCCUUCCGGACCAGGGGGACAAUGACAAUUGGUGGACAGGAUGGAGACAGUGGAUACCGGCAGGUAUUGGAGUUACAGGCGUUAUAAUUGCAGUUAUCGCUUUAUUCUGUAUAUGCAAAUUUGUCUUUUAGUUUUUCUUCAGAUUGCUUCAUGGCAAAGCUCAGCCUCAAAUCAAUGAAACCAGGAUUUAAUUAUAUGGAUUACUUGAAUUUAAGAUUACUUGACAAAUGAUAAUAUAAUACACUGGAGCUUUAAACAUAACCAAUGUGAUUCUAACUCUUUUAAACUCACAGUUAAUCAUAAAUAAGGUUUGACAUCAAUCUAGUUAUCUCUUUGAGAAUGAUAAACUUGAUGAAGAUUAAGAAAAAGGUAAUCUUUCGAUUAUCUUUAAUCUUCAUCCUUGAUUCUACAAUCAUGACAGUUGUCUUUAGUGACAAGGGAAAGAAGCCUUUUUAUUAAGUUGUAAUAAUCAGAUCUGCGAACCGGUAGAGUCUAGUUGCAACCUAACACACAUAAAGCAUUGAUCAAAAAGUCAAUAGAAAUUUAAACAGUGAGUGGAGACAACUUUUAAAUGGAAGCUUCAUAUGAGAGAGGACGCCCACGAGCUGCCAGACAGCAUUCAAGGGAUGGACACGACCACCAUGUUCGAGCACGAUCAUCAUCCAGAGAGAAUUAUCGAGGUGAGUACCGUCAAUCAAGGAGCGCCUCACAAGUGCGCGUUCCUACUGUAUUUCAUAAGAAGAGAGUUGAACCAUUAACAGUUCCUCCAGCACCUAAAGACAUAUGUCCGACCUUGAAAAAAGGAUUUUUGUGUGACAGUAGUUUUUGCAAAAAAGAUCACCAGUUGGAGAGUUUAACUGAUAGGGAAUUACUCCUACUAAUCGCCCGUAAGACUUGUGGAUCAGUAGAACAACAAUUAAAUAUAACUGCACCCAAGGACUCGCGCUUAGCAAAUCCAACGGCUGAUGAUUUCCAGCAAGAGGAAGGUCCAAAAAUUACCUUGUUGACUCUGAUCAAGACGGCAGAACACUGGGCGAGACAAGACAUCAGAACCAUAGAGGAUUCAAAAUUAAGAGCAUUGUUGACUCUAUGUGCUGUGAUGACGAGGAAGUUCUCAAAAUCCCAGCUGAGUCUUUUAUGUGAGACACACCUAAGGCGCGAGGGGCUUGGGCAAGAUCAGGCAGAACCCGUUCUCGAAGUAUAUCAACGAUUACACAGUGAUAAAGGAGGCAGUUUUGAAGCUGCACUAUGGCAACAGUGGGACCGACAAUCCCUAAUUAUGUUUAUCACUGCAUUCUUGAAUAUCGCUCUCCAGUUACCGUGUGAAAGUUCUGCUGUCGUUGUUUCAGGGUUAAGAACAUUGGUUCCUCAAUCAGAUAAUGAGGAAGCUUCAACCAACCCGGGGACAUGCUCAUGGUCUGAUGAGGGUACCCCUUAAUAAGGCUGACUAAAACACUAUAUAACCUUCUACUUGAGCACAAUACUCCGUAUACCUAUUAUCAUAUAUUUAAUCAAGACGAUAUCCUUUAAGACUUAUUCAGUACUAUAAUCACUCUCGUUUCAAAUUAAUAAGAUGUGCAUGAUUGCCCUAAUAUAUGAAGAGGUAUGAUACAACCCCAACAGUGACCAAAGACAAUCAUAAUCUCGUAUCGCUCGUAAUAUAACCUGCCAAGCAUACCUCUUGUACAAAGUGAUUCUUGUACACAAAUAAUAUUUUACCCUACAGGAGGUAGCAAUGAUCCAUCCCAUCAAAAAAUAAGUAUUUUAUGACUUACUAAUGAUCUCUUAAAAUAUUAAGAAAAACUGACGGAACAUAAAUUCCUUCUGCUUCAAGUUGUGGAGGAGGUGUUUGGUAUUGGCUCUUGUUAUAUUGCAAUCAAUAACAAGCUUGUAAAAAUAUUGUUCUUGUUUCAAGAGGUAGAUUGUGGCCGGAAAUGCUAAACUAAUGAUGAAGAUUAAUGCGGAGGUCUGAUAAGAAUAAACCUUAUUAUUCAGAUUAGGCCCCAAGAGGCAUUCUUCAUCUCCUUUUAGCAAAGUACUAUUCCAGGGUAGUCCAAUUAGUGACACGUCUCUUAGCUGUAUAUCAGUCGCCCCUGAGAUACGCCACAAAAGUGUCUCUAAGCUAAAUUGGUCUGUACACAUCUCAUACAUUGUAUUGGGGGCAAUAAUAUCUAAUUGAACUUAGCCGUUUAAAAUUUAGUGCAUAAAUCUGGGCUAACUCCACCAGGUCAACUCCAUUGGCUGAAAAGAAGCCUACCUACAACGAACAUCACUUUGAGCGCCCUCAAAUUUAAAAAAUAGGAACGUCGUUCCAACAAUCGAGCGCAAGGUUUCAAGGUUGAACUGGGAGUGUCUAGACAACAGAGUAUCGAGACUCCAGACACCAAGCAAGACCUGAGGAAAAACCAUGGCUAAAGCUACGGGACGAUACAAUCUAAUAUCACCCAAAAAGGACCUUGAGAAAGGGGUUGUCUUAAGCGACCUCUGUAACUUCUUAGUUAGCCAAACUAUUCAGGGGUGGAAGGUUUAUUGGGCUGGUAUUGAGUUUGAUGUGACUCACAAAGGAAUGGCCCUAUUGCAUAGACUGAAAACUAAUGACUUUGCCCCUGCAUGGUCAAUGACAAGGAAUCUCUUUCCUCAUUUAUUUCAAAAUCCGAAUUCCACAAUUGAAUCACCGCUGUGGGCAUUGAGAGUCAUCCUUGCAGCAGGGAUACAAGACCAGCUGAUUGACCAGUCUUUGAUUGAACCCUUAGCAGGAGCCCUUGGUCUGAUCUCUGAUUGGCUGCUAACAACCAACACUAACCAUUUCAACAUGCGAACACAACGUGUCAAGGAACAAUUGAGCCUAAAAAUGCUGUCGUUGAUUCGAUCCAAUAUUCUCAAGUUUAUUAACAAAUUGGAUGCUCUACAUGUCGUGAACUACAACGGAUUGUUGAGCAGUAUUGAAAUUGGAACUCAAAAUCAUACAAUCAUCAUAACUCGAACUAACAUGGGUUUUCUGGUGGAGCUCCAAGAACCCGACAAAUCGGCAAUGAACCGCAAGAAGCCUGGGCCGGCGAAAUUUUCCCUCCUUCAUGAGUCCACACUGAAAGCAUUUACACAAGGAUCCUCGACACGAAUGCAAAGUUUGAUUCUUGAAUUUAAUAGCUCUCUUGCUAUCUAACUAAGAUGGAAUACUUCAUAUUGAGCUAACUCAUAUAUGCUGACUCAAUAGUUAUCUUGACGUCUCUGCUUUCAUAAUCAGAUAUAUAAGCAUAAUAAAUAAAUACUCAUAUUUCUUGAUAAUUUGUUUAACCACAGAUAAAUCCUCACUGUAAGCCAGCUUCCAAGUUGACACCCUUACAAAAACCAGGACUCAGAAUCCCUCAAAUAAGAGAUUCCAAGACAACAUCAUAGAAUUGCUUUAUCAUAUGAAUAAGCAUUUUAUCACCAGAAAUCUUAUAUACUAAAUGGUUAAUUGUAACUGAACCCGCAGGUCACAUGUGUUAGGUUUCACAGAUUCUAUAUAUUACUAACUCUAUACUCGUAAUUAACAUUAGAUAAGUAGAUUAAGAAAAAAGCCUGAGGAAGAUUAAGAAAAACUGCUUAUUGGGUCUUUCCGUGUUUUAGAUGAAGCAGUUGAAAUUCUUCCUCUUAAUAUUAAAUGGCUACACAACAUACCCAGUACCCGGACGCUAGGUUAUCAUCACCAAUUGUAUUGGACCAAUGUGACCUAGUCACUAGAGCUUGCGGGUUAUAUUCAUCAUACUCCCUUAAUCCGCAACUACGCAACUGUAAACUCCCGAAACAUAUCUACCGUUUGAAAUACGAUGUAACUGUUACCAAGUUCUUGAGUGAUGUACCAGUGGCGACAUUGCCCAUAGAUUUCAUAGUCCCAAUUCUUCUCAAGGCACUGUCAGGCAAUGGGUUCUGUCCUGUUGAGCCGCGGUGCCAACAGUUCUUAGAUGAAAUCAUUAAGUACACAAUGCAAGAUGCUCUCUUCUUGAAAUAUUAUCUCAAAAAUGUGGGUGCUCAAGAAGACUGUGUUGAUGACCACUUUCAAGAGAAAAUCUUAUCUUCAAUUCAGGGCAAUGAAUUUUUACAUCAAAUGUUUUUCUGGUAUGAUCUGGCUAUUUUAACUCGAAGGGGUAGAUUAAAUCGAGGAAACUCUAGAUCAACAUGGUUUGUUCAUGAUGAUUUAAUAGACAUCUUAGGUUAUGGGGACUAUGUUUUUUGGAAGAUCCCAAUUUCAAUGUUACCACUGAACACACAAGGAAUCCCCCAUGCUGCUAUGGACUGGUAUCAGGCAUCAGUAUUCAAAGAAGCGGUUCAAGGGCAUACACACAUUGUUUCUGUUUCUACUGCCGACGUCUUGAUAAUGUGCAAAGAUUUAAUUACAUGUCGAUUCAACACAACUCUAAUCUCAAAAAUAGCAGAGAUUGAGGAUCCAGUUUGUUCUGAUUAUCCCAAUUUUAAGAUUGUGUCUAUGCUUUACCAGAGCGGAGAUUACUUACUCUCCAUAUUAGGGUCUGAUGGGUAUAAAAUUAUUAAGUUCCUCGAACCAUUGUGCUUGGCCAAAAUUCAAUUAUGCUCAAAGUACACCGAGAGGAAGGGCCGAUUCUUAACACAAAUGCAUUUAGCUGUAAAUCACACCCUAGAAGAAAUUACAGAAAUGCGUGCACUAAAGCCUUCACAGGCUCAAAAGAUCCGUGAAUUCCAUAGAACAUUGAUAAGGCUGGAGAUGACGCCACAACAACUUUGUGAGCUAUUUUCCAUUCAAAAACACUGGGGGCAUCCUGUGCUACAUAGUGAAACAGCAAUCCAAAAAGUUAAAAAACAUGCUACGGUGCUAAAAGCAUUACGCCCUAUAGUGAUUUUCGAGACAUACUGUGUUUUUAAAUAUAGUAUUGCCAAACAUUAUUUUGAUAGUCAAGGGUCUUGGUACAGUGUUACUUCAGAUAGGAAUCUAACACCAGGUCUUAAUUCUUAUAUCAAAAGAAAUCAAUUCCCUCCGUUGCCAAUGAUUAAAGAACUACUAUGGGAAUUUUACCACCUUGACCAUCCUCCACUUUUCUCAACCAAAAUUAUUAGUGACUUAAGUAUUUUUAUAAAAGACAGAGCUACCGCAGUAGAAAGGACAUGCUGGGAUGCAGUAUUCGAGCCUAAUGUUCUAGGAUAUAAUCCACCUCACAAAUUUAGUACUAAACGUGUACCGGAACAAUUUUUAGAGCAAGAAAACUUUUCUAUUGAGAAUGUUCUUUCCUACGCGCAAAAACUCGAGUAUCUACUACCACAAUAUCGGAACUUUUCUUUCUCAUUGAAAGAGAAAGAGUUGAAUGUAGGUAGAACCUUCGGAAAAUUGCCUUAUCCGACUCGCAAUGUUCAAACACUUUGUGAAGCUCUGUUAGCUGAUGGUCUUGCUAAAGCAUUUCCUAGCAAUAUGAUGGUAGUUACGGAACGUGAGCAAAAAGAAAGCUUAUUGCAUCAAGCAUCAUGGCACCACACAAGUGAUGAUUUUGGUGAACAUGCCACAGUUAGAGGGAGUAGCUUUGUAACUGAUUUAGAGAAAUACAAUCUUGCAUUUAGAUAUGAGUUUACAGCACCUUUUAUCGAAUAUUGCAACCGUUGCUAUGGUGUUAAGAAUGUUUUUAAUUGGAUGCAUUAUACAAUCCCACAGUGUUAUAUGCAUGUUAGUGAUUAUUAUAAUCCACCACAUAACCUCACACUGGAAAAUCGAGACAACCCCCCCGAAGGGCCUAGUUCAUACAGGGGUCAUAUGGGAGGGAUUGAAGGACUGCAACAAAAACUCUGGACAAGUAUUUCAUGUGCUCAAAUUUCUUUAGUUGAAAUUAAGACUGGUUUUAAGUUACGCUCAGCUGUGAUGGGUGACAAUCAGUGCAUUACCGUUUUAUCAGUCUUCCCCUUAGAGACUGACGCAGACGAGCAGGAACAGAGCGCCGAAGACAAUGCAGCGAGGGUGGCCGCUAGCCUAGCAAAAGUUACAAGUGCCUGUGGAAUCUUUUUAAAACCUGAUGAAACAUUUGUACAUUCAGGUUUUAUCUAUUUUGGAAAAAAACAAUAUUUGAACGGGGUCCAAUUGCCUCAGUCCCUUAAAACGGCUACAAGAAUGGCACCAUUGUCUGAUGCAAUUUUUGAUGAUCUUCAAGGAACCCUAGCUAGUAUAGGCACUGCUUUUGAGCGAUCCAUCUCUGAGACACGACAUAUCUUUCCUUGCAGGAUAACCGCAGCUUUCCAUACGUUUUUUUCGGUGAGAAUCUUGCAAUAUCAUCAUCUCGGGUUCAAUAAAGGUUUUGACCUUGGACAGUUAACACUCGGUAAACCUCUGGAUUUCGGAACAAUAUCAUUGGCACUAGCGGUACCGCAGGUGCUUGGAGGAUUAUCCUUCUUGAAUCCUGAGAAAUGUUUCUACCGGAAUCUAGGAGAUCCAGUUACCUCAGGCUUAUUCCAGUUAAAAACUUAUCUCCGAAUGAUUGAGAUGGAUGAUUUAUUCUUACCUUUAAUUGCGAAGAACCCUGGGAACUGCACUGCCAUUGACUUUGUGCUAAAUCCUAGCGGAUUAAAUGUCCCCGGGUCGCAGGACUUAACUUCAUUUCUGCGCCAGAUUGUACGCAGGACCAUCACCCUAAGUGCGAAAAACAAACUUAUUAAUACCUUAUUUCAUGCGUCAGCUGACUUCGAAGACGAAAUGGUUUGUAAAUGGCUAUUAUCAUCAACUCCUGUUAUGAGUCGUUUUGCGGCCGAUAUCUUUUCACGCACGCCGAGCGGGAAGCGAUUGCAAAUUCUAGGAUACCUGGAAGGAACACGCACAUUAUUAGCCUCUAAGAUCAUCAACAAUAAUACAGAGACACCGGUUUUGGACAGACUGAGGAAAAUAACAUUGCAAAGGUGGAGUCUAUGGUUUAGUUAUCUUGAUCAUUGUGAUAAUAUCCUGGCGGAGGCUUUAACCCAAAUAACUUGCACAGUUGAUUUAGCACAGAUCCUGAGGGAAUAUUCAUGGGCUCAUAUUUUAGAGGGAAGACCUCUUAUUGGAGCCACACUCCCAUGUAUGAUUGAGCAAUUCAAAGUGUUUUGGCUGAAACCCUACGAACAAUGUCCGCAGUGUUCAAAUGCAAAGCAACCAGGUGGGAAACCAUUCGUGUCAGUGGCAGUCAAGAAACAUAUUGUUAGUGCAUGGCCGAACGCAUCCCGACUAAGCUGGACUAUCGGGGAUGGAAUCCCUUACAUUGGAUCAAGGACAGAAGAUAAGAUAGGACAACCUGCUAUUAAACCAAAAUGUCCUUCCGCAGCCUUAAGAGAGGCCAUUGAAUUGGCGUCCCGUUUAACAUGGGUAACUCAAGGCAGUUCGAACAGUGACUUGCUAAUAAAGCCAUUUUUGGAAGCACGAGUAAAUUUGAGUGUUCAAGAAAUACUUCAAAUGACUCCUUCACAUUACUCAGGAAAUAUUGUUCACAGGUACAACGAUCAAUACAGUCCUCAUUCUUUCAUGGCCAAUCGUAUGAGUAAUUCAGCAACGCGAUUGAUUGUUUCUACAAACACUUUAGGUGAGUUUUCAGGAGGUGGCCAGUCUGCACGCGACAGCAAUAUUAUUUUCCAGAAUGUUAUAAAUUAUGCAGUUGCACUGUUCGAUAUUAAAUUUAGAAACACUGAAGCUACAGAUAUCCAAUAUAAUCGUGCUCACCUUCAUCUAACUAAGUGUUGCACCCGGGAAGUACCAGCUCAGUAUUUAACAUACACAUCUACAUUGGAUUUAGAUUUAACAAGAUACCGAGAAAACGAAUUGAUUUAUGACAAUAAUCCUCUAAAAGGAGGACUCAAUUGCAAUAUCUCAUUCGAUAACCCAUUUUUCCAAGGUAAGCAGCUGAACAUUAUAGAAGAUGAUCUUAUUCGACUGCCUCACUUAUCUGGAUGGGAGCUAGCCAAGACCAUCAUGCAAUCAAUUAUUUCAGAUAGCAACAAUUCAUCUACAGACCCAAUUAGCAGUGGAGAAACAAGAUCAUUCACUACCCAUUUCUUAACUUAUCCCAAGAUAGGACUGCUGUACAGUUUUGGGGCCUUUGUAAGUUAUUAUCUUGGCAAUACAAUUCUUCGGACUAAGAAAUUAACACUUGACAAUUUUUUAUAUUACUUAACUACCCAAAUUCAUAAUCUACCACAUCGCUCAUUGCGAAUACUUAAGCCAACAUUCAAACAUGCAAGCGUUAUGUCACGGUUAAUGAGUAUUGAUCCUCAUUUUUCUAUUUACAUAGGCGGUGCUGCAGGUGACAGAGGACUCUCAGAUGCGGCCAGAUUAUUUUUGAGAACGUCUAUUUCAUCUUUUCUUACAUUUGUAAAAGAAUGGAUAAUUAAUCGCGGAACAAUUGUCCCUUUAUGGAUAGUAUAUCCGCUAGAGGGUCAAAACCCAACACCUGUUAAUAAUUUUCUCUAUCAGAUCGUAGAACUGCUGGUGCAUGAUUCAUCAAGACAACAGGCUUUAAAAACUACCAUAAGUGAUCAUGUACAUCCUCACGACAAUCUUGUUUACACAUGUAAGAGUACAGCCAGCAAUUUCUUCCAUGCAUCAUUGGCGUACUGGAGGAGCAGGCACAGAAACAGCAACCGAAAAUACUUGGCAAGAGACUCUUCAACUGGAUCAAGCACAAACAACAGUGAUGGUCAUAUUGAGAGAAGUCAAGAACAAACCACCAGAGAUCCACAUGAUGGCACUGAACGGAAUCUAGUUCUACAAAUGAGCCAUGAAAUAAAAAGAACGACAACUCCACAAGAAAACACGCACCAGGGUCCGUCGUUCCAGUCCUUUCUAAGUGACUCUGCUUGUGGUACAGCAAAUCCAAAACUAAAUUUCGAUCGAUCGAGACACAAUGUGAAGUCUCAGGAUUAUAACUCGGCAUCCAAGAGGGAAGGUCAUCAAAUAACCUCACAUCGUCUAGUCCUACCUUUCUUUACAUUAUCUCAAGGGACACGCCAAUUAACGUCAUCCAAUGAGUCACAAACCCAAGACGAGAUAUCAAAGUACUUACGGCAAUUGAGAUCCGUCAUUGAUACCACAGUUUAUUGUAGGUUUACCGGUAUAGUCUCGUCCAUGCAUUACAAACUUGAUGAGGUCCUUUGGGAAAUAGAGAGUUUUAAGUCGGCUGUGACGCUAGCAGAGGGAGAAGGUGCUGGUGCCUUACUAUUGAUUCAGAAAUACCAAGUUAAGACCUUAUUUUUCAACACGCUAGCUACUGAGUCCAGUAUAGAGUCAGAAAUAGUAUCAGGAAUGACUACUCCUAGGAUGCUUCUACCUGUUAUGUCAAAAUUCCAUAAUAACCAAAUUGAGAUUAUUCUUAACAACUCAGCAAGCCAAAUAACAGACAUAACAAAUCCUACUUGGUUUAAAGACCAAAGAGCAAGGCUACCUAAGCAAGUCGAGGUUAUAACCAUGGAUGCAGAGACGACAGAGAAUAUAAACAGAUCGAAAUUGUACGAAGCUGUAUAUAAACUGAUCUUACACCAUAUUGAUCCCAGCGUAUUGAAAGCAGUGGUCCUUAAAGUCUUUCUAAGUGAUACUGAGGGUAUGUUAUGGCUAAAUGAUAAUUUAGCCCCGUUUUUUGCCACUGGUUAUUUAAUUAAGCCAAUAACGUCAAGUGCUAGAUCUAGUGAGUGGUAUCUUUGUCUGACGAACUUCUUAUCAACUACACGAAAGAUGCCACACCAAAACCAUCUCAGUUGUAAACAGGUAAUACUUACGGCAUUGCAACUGCAAAUUCAACGGAGCCCAUACUGGCUAAGUCAUUUAACUCAGUAUGCCGACUAUGAUUUACAUUUAAGUUAUAUCCGCCUUGGUUUUCCAUCAUUAGAGAAAGUACUAUACCACAGGUAUAACCUCGUUGAUUCAAAAAGAGGUCCACUAGUCUCUAUCACUCAGCACUUAGCACAUCUUAGAGCAGAGAUUCGAGAAUUAACUAAUGAUUAUAAUCAACAGCGACAAAGUCGAACUCAAACAUAUCACUUUAUUCGUACUGCAAAAGGACGAAUCACAAAACUAGUCAAUGAUUAUUUAAAAUUCUUUCUUAUUGUGCAAGCAUUAAAACAUAAUGGGACAUGGCAAGCUGAGUUUAAGAAAUUACCAGAGUUGAUUAGUGUGUGCAAUAGGUUCUACCAUAUUAGAGAUUGCAAUUGUGAAGAACGUUUCUUAGUUCAAACCUUAUAUUUACAUAGAAUGCAGGAUUCUGAAGUUAAGCUUAUCGAAAGGCUGACAGGGCUUCUGAGUUUAUUUCCGGAUGGUCUCUACAGGUUUGAUUGAAUUACCGUGCAUAGUAUCCUGAUACUUGCAAAGGUUGGUUAUCAACAUACAGAUUAUAAAAAACUCAUAAAUUGCUCUCAUACAUCAUAUUGAUCUGAUUUCAAUAAACAACUAUUCAAAUAACGAAAGGAGUCCCUAUAUUAUACACUAUAUUUAGCCUCUUUCCCUGCUUAAUAAUCAAAAAAUUCACAAUGCAGCAUGUGUGACAUAUUACUGCCGCAAUGAAUUUAACGCAACAUAAUAAACUCUGCACUCUUUAUAAUUAAGCUUUAACGAAAGGUCUGGGCUCAUAUUGUUAUUGAUAUAAUAAUGUUAUAUCAAUAUCCUGUCAGAUGGAAUAGUGUUUUGAUUGAUAACACGACUUCUUAAAACAAAAUUGAUCUUUAAGAUUAAGUUUUUUUAUAAUUAUCAUUACUUUAAUUUGUCGAUUUAAAAAUGGUGAUAGCCUUAAUCUUUGUGUAAAAUAAGAGAUUAUGUGUAAUAACUUUAACAUUUUUGUCUAGUAAGCUACUAUUUCAUACAGAAUGAUAAAAUUAAAAGAAAAGGCAGGACUGUAAAAUCAUAAAUACCUUCUUUACAAUAUAGCAGACUAGAUAAUAAUCUUCGUGUUAAUGAUAAUUAAGACAUUGACCACGCUCAUCAGAAGGCUCGCCAAAAUAAACGUUGCAAAAAGGAUUCCUGGAAAAAUGGUCGCACACAAAAAUUUAAAAAUAAAUCUAUUUCUUCUUUUUUGUGUGUCC
RNAcentral lists this unclassified non-coding RNA (18959 nucleotides) under Cloning vector BB866 - EBOV/Tum. RNAcentral's name for it is "Zaire ebolavirus antigenomic RNA". The record is from RNAcentral.